Molecule: ribosomal RNA, 467 nt
Filed under: uncultured bacterium
Lineage: Bacteria
Description: partial 16S ribosomal RNA
Rfam family: Bacterial small subunit ribosomal RNA
Source: RNAcentral
GACGAACGCUGGCGGCGUGCUUAACACAUGCAAGUCGAACGGAAAGGCCCUGCUUUUGUGGGGUGCUCGAGUGGCGAACGGGUGAGUAACACGUGAGUAACCUGCCCUUGACUUUGGGAUAACUUCAGGAAACUGGGGCUAAUACCGGAUAGGAGCUCCUGCUGCAUGGUGGGGGUUGGAAAGUUUCGGCGGUUGGGGAUGGACUCGCGGCUUAUCAGCUUGUUGGUGGGGUAGUGGCUUACCAAGGCUUUGACGGGUAGCCGGCCUGAGAGGGUGACCGGCCCCAUUGGGACGGGGAUACGGCCCGGACUCCUACGGGAGGAAGCAGUGGGGAAUAUUGCACAAUGGGCGGAGGCGUGAUGCAGCAACGCCGCGUGCGGGAUGACGGCCUUCGGGUUGUAAACCGCUUUCGCCUGUGACGAAGCGUGAGUGACGGUAAUGGGUAAAGAAGCACCGGCUAACUACGU